UGUGGCUUGCGUGUUAUUUUCAAGAUGGCUGCUGUCAUUCGACGAGAAUCGACAGCAACUGCAGUCUGCAGAUCCCCAUAGGCACAUACCCUCCAUACCCCUGCAUAGGAAAACUUUUGACAACCACUCAACACAACAAUCCGCCAUUUAGCGUUUUGGAUUUCGGUGUCCAAUAGAUGACAUAGGCGUCGUCGUUUUCAUGUGAUGGAGAAAAGUUUAUGGAAGGAACGGGAAAGGAAACAGUGCAUACAAAUAGCCUACCAUCACUAUACCACCAACUCUUUUAUUAAAAAUCGUCGUUCUGCUGAAUGCAUCAUGCAGUUAAUACAGGUCACUACCCCAGUGUGGACAUAUAUGUUUGUUUUUCUGAACAUAUUUUUCACCAAAUAAUUCAUUGACGUGCAAGGAAAGCUUAAAGCUUACCCAUGGGUAAUCUUCAGGUUAGCAGCAACAGCUUAAGAGAAGAAUGUGAACAAAUGCAGGGCACAUACCAACAUGUGCUGUAUUUUUCUGAAUGUUAAGCACGAGCAGUAGAUUCAACAUGACUAACUGUUUGAUGCCAAAGUUAGUUGGAAUUGGAACUCAACUCACUGUAUGUACUCUAAACAGAUAACUGGUGCGGUUGCCCUACAGCCACAGGCAGGAAAAUCUUUCUUUUUUUUUCAGAAAAUGGGAAAGCUGCUGGAGUAAUCUGGUGUUCAUGCUCAUUAAUUUCAUUUCGUGCCAGCUAGUGAAAGCCGAAAGGCAUGUCGAAUUCAAGUUGAGCUACUGCGUGUUGUCUCGAAGCAAGCAAUCCAGCCGUUGCGUUCAGUCAUUUGGAACAGGAAUCUAAAUUUUCUAAUGGCUGUCAAUAGGUGGCUGUCAAAAGUUGGUUGGAAUGUCCACCAGGUAGCGCGAGUGUCUUCAGGAACGCAUUUCGGCCAUUUUGUUCCAAGACGCAGCAGAAAUGGUUGCUGUUUGCUGGUCAUGACGUUUCUCACGAUGAAAAUUAAAAGGUGAUUUAGCACGUUGAAACCAAUUUGCCAAAUCAUUCAACUGAGACUUGGAAUUGCCUGUACAUUGCCGAAAUGGCGUGCCUCGUGUGUUUCGCUGCCUGUUCUUAGGCGUACGUCUCAUCCCAUGCAACAGUAAAAAGUCUAACAAACACUUCUUAAACGCUGUUGGUUACCUUGUUGCAGCCAAAUGGUGAAAGGUGUGACGAAGACAGAUUGAACCAUUGUAUGCAGCAUGCGGUUGCAGUGUUAUCCAGAACUAGAAGUUGCUGUGCUGUUGUAGCUGAGCUGUUCCAUGCUGUGCGGUUGUAGCUGAGCUGUUCCAUUCAUGACUUAAAAAUUUUUGUGUUUUCAUCCGUGUCCAUAUUUUGUGUUGCUGAGUUAUAAGUGUGAUCUGUUGUCUUUUGAGUUUUCAUUCAAUCAUGCAGUAUACGACUGAGGCAACCUGAUCAAUAUCAAGUUUGACACAGUCGAGAACUGCUAGAUUAAACAAGCUUUCUGCGCCAAACAAAUAAUAACUUGCAUAUAACUUGCAUCAUGUUAUUAUCGCGGUAGAGAAAGCAACAGGCCCCCCCUCCUGGGGGCCACGGGAAAAAUGUGUAAAAUUAUAAAUUUUGUAUUAAUUUUUGUUAUAAAUAAAAUUUGUAUAUAAUAAAAUUUUCAAA
Daphnia pulex (common water flea) is the source of this 1657-nucleotide long non-coding RNA. RefSeq lists it as uncharacterized. The transcript has 8 exons. NCBI's taxonomy places the organism in Eukaryota, Metazoa, Arthropoda, Branchiopoda, Diplostraca, Daphniidae. The record is from RefSeq and is a predicted model, not a curated record.